This 496-nucleotide ribosomal RNA is filed under the name uncultured bacterium. RNAcentral describes it as "partial 16S ribosomal RNA". It matches the Rfam family "Bacterial small subunit ribosomal RNA", at positions 28 to 507 of the family's 1533-position model. The record is from RNAcentral.
GAUGAACGCUGGCGGCGUGCCUAAUACAUGCAAGUCGAGCGAACGGACGAGAAGCUUGCUUUUCUGAUGUUAGCGGCGGACGGGUGAGUAACACGUGGAUAACCUACCUAUAAGACUGGGAUAACUUCGGGAAACCGGAGCUAAUACCGGAUAAUAUUUUGAACCGCAUGGUUCAAAAGUGAAAGACGGUCUUGCUGUCACUUAUAGAUGGAUCCGCGCUGCAUUAGCUAGUUGGUAGGUAACGGCUUACCAAGGCAACGAUGCAUAGCCGACCUGAGAGGGUGAUCGGCCACACUGGAACUGAGACACGGUCCAGACUCCUACGGGAGGCAGCAGUAGGGAAUCUUCCGCAAUGGGCGAAAGCCUGACGGAGCAACGCCGCGUGAGUGAUGAAGGUCUUCGGAUCGUAAAACUCUGUUAUUAGGGAAGAACAUAUGUGUAAGUAACUGUGCACAUCUUGACGGUACCUAAUCAGAAAGCCACGGCUAACUACGUG